This 974-nucleotide long non-coding RNA is filed under the name Helianthus annuus (common sunflower). Its description in RNAcentral is "hypothetical non coding rna". The record is from RNAcentral. Lineage: Eukaryota; Viridiplantae; Streptophyta; Magnoliopsida; Asterales; Asteraceae.
CCUCAUCUUUGUACUCAUCAUCUUCCUCCUUUGAUUCAGUCAAUCUAUCUUCGAAAUCAACAAUCCAUCAUUAAUUAGUCUAUAAUUAUGGUGAAUCGUUUACAAUGUCUCACUACUCAUCGUCAUCAUCUUUGAAACAUCUGAUUUGCUCUUGUGGUGCAGGUACCUGCUAUCGCAUAGUGUCAUCAGAUUGUUAAUGUGUGUGUAUGAUCACAUUGUUACAUGUGAUUAUAGAAUGGUAGUUGUGGUUUGCAUAGGUGGGUUGAUACUUUCAUGUGUCCCAGAUGUGAAAGGGUAGUUUCAGCUUUGAUGCAUACUAUCAAAAAGAAAGAGGAAAUCGUCAAAACCAAAGCUAUGCAACUCACAAAUUGAAGUUUGUUUUAGGAAUUAGUUGGCUGUUAUUUGUUGUGUAUGUUUUGAACUUUUAAAAUGUACUGCAAUAACCUUUUGAAACCUCCAAUGGAUCUAUAUUUAUGUUGAUUAUGCUGUAUAUUCUGUUGAUUAUGUAGACUAACAUGUCUCUUUAUCAAAUUUUGUAUUUUGAUAGCCUUGUUAUAACCAUACUCAAUAUGAUGAGGUUGAAAAACAAGUUGUAAAUGUGGAAGAAAAAGAAGUGGUUCAAGAUAACUUUGGUGAGGUCUACAACAUGAAGAAGAGUUGCAAGCGAAAUAUGGAAUGGAUUACAACAACUUCGUAGAAUAGAUGUAAGAAGAAUAUGAAAAGGAUCUAGAGUUGGAAUAUGACAUUGAGGUAUUAAAAAAGGCUUGGGACUACGAAAGCCCCGAACAAGGGGAGGACCACUUGUACCACAAUCCGUAUUAAAGGCAAGCAUGAAUGAGAUUCUGAAUGGUAAAACGAUGAGUGUCAUAAACAAUAAUGUAUAUCAUGUUUGUAAGAGUUGUAAUGGUUGGAUUAUGAACUGUGUUAUUUGUAAUGUUUGAAUUCAAAUAUGACAUAUGUUGGUACCUUUGUUU